AACGAACGCUGGCGGCAUGCCUAACACAUGCAAGUCGAACGGGACCUUCGGGUCUAGUGGCGCACGGGUGCGUAACGCGUGGGGAUCUGCCCUUAGGUACGGAAUAACUCAGGGAAACUUGAGCUAAUACCGUAUAAUGACUUCGGUCCAAAGAUUUAUCGCCUAGGGAUGAACCCGCGUAGGAUUAGCUUGUUGGUGAAGGUAAAGGCUCACCAAGGCGACGAUCCUUAGCUGGUCUGAGAGGAUGAUCAGCCACACUGGGACUGAGACACGGCCCAGACUCCUACGGGAGGCAGCAGUGGGGAAUAUUGGACAAUGGGCGAAAGCCUGAUCCAGCAAUGCCGCGUGAGUGAUGAAGGCCUUAGGGUUAGUAAAGCUUCCUUUUACCCGGGUAUGAUAAUGACAGUACCGGGAGAAU
This 418-nucleotide ribosomal RNA is filed under the name uncultured bacterium. Its description in RNAcentral is "bacterial SSU rRNA". It matches the Rfam family "Bacterial small subunit ribosomal RNA", at positions 29 to 487 of the family's 1533-position model. The record is from RNAcentral.